UGGGGAAUUUUGGACAAUGGGGGAAACCCUGAUCCAGCCAUCCCGCGUGUGCGAUGAAGGCCUUCGGGUUGUAAAGCACUUUUGGCAGGAAAGAAACGUCAUGGGUUAAUACCCCGUGAAACUGACGGUACCUGCAGAAUAAGCACCGGCUAACUACGUACCAGCAGCCGCGGUAAUACGUAGGGUGCAAGCGUUAAUCGGAAUUACUGGGCGUAAAGCGUGCGCAGGCGGUUCGGAAAGAAAGAUGUGAAAUCCCAGAGCUCAACUUUGGAACUGCAUUUUUAACUACCGGGCUAGAGUGUGUCAGAGGGAGGUGGAAUUCCGCGUGUAGCAGUGAAAUGCGUAGAUAUGCGGAGGAACACCGAUGGCGAAGGCAGCCUCCUGGGAUAACACUGACGCUCAUGCACGAAAGCGUGGGGAGCAAACAGG
RNAcentral lists this ribosomal RNA (429 nucleotides) under Acidobacteriota bacterium. RNAcentral describes it as "Acidobacteria bacterium partial 16S ribosomal RNA". It matches the Rfam family "Bacterial small subunit ribosomal RNA", at positions 355 to 776 of the family's 1533-position model. Lineage: Bacteria; Pseudomonadati; Acidobacteriota. The record is from RNAcentral.